AUUGAACGCUGGCGGCAUGCCUUACACAUGCAAGUCGAACGGCAGCACGGGAGCAAUCCUGGUGGCGAGUGGCGAACGGGUGAGUAAUGUAUCGGAACGUGCCCAGUCGUGGGGGAUAACGUAGCGAAAGCUACGCUAAUACCGCAUACGAUCUAUGGAUGAAAGCGGGGGAUCGCAAGACCUCGCGCGGUUGGAGCGGCCGAUAUCAGAUUAGGUAGUUGGUGGGGUAAAGGCCCACCAAGCCUGCGAUCUGUAGCUGGUCUGAGAGGACGACCAGCCACACUGGAACUGAGACAUGGUCCAGACUCCUACGGGAGGCAGCAGUGGGGAAUUUUGGACAAUGGGCGCAAGCCUGAUCCAGCAAUGCCGCGUGCAGGAUGAAGGCCUUCGGGUUGUAAACUGCUUUUGUACGGAACGAAACGGCUUUUUCUAAUACAGAGAGCUAAUGACGGUACCGUAAGAAUAAGCACCGGCUAACUACGUGCCAGCCGCCGCGGUAA
This 500-nucleotide ribosomal RNA is filed under the name uncultured bacterium. RNAcentral's name for it is "partial 16S ribosomal RNA". It matches the Rfam family "Bacterial small subunit ribosomal RNA", at positions 30 to 523 of the family's 1533-position model. The record is from RNAcentral.